GGCCCUCUGCCCACCUCCGCAGCUGGAGCAGCACGGCCGUGCUGGUGCAGUGCACCGCGACUCUGCGUGCAGUACAGUGGGUGUGUGCCCCCUCAAUUUCUCCUCCCCACAGUAUGAAGUUUGUUUUUGGUUGAUGUUGAAUUCAUCCGCGCUGCAGUAUGCUUGUGGGUGUGAAGCAGUGCGCUCGGUUGCCGCUCCCCCGUGUAGCUCGCUUGCCGCCCCCGUGCAGCUCACCUACGGCGAGCAGUAUGUUUGUGGGUGUGAAGCAGUGCGCUCGGUUGCCACUACCUGUGCAGCUCACCUCCGGCGAGCAGUAUGCUUGUGGGUGUGAAGCAGUGCGCUCGUUUGCUCAAGGGGGAAAGUGCUAGAGGACAAAGAAGGAGCGUGUGGUUGAGAAAAAGUGCCCGAGUGGCAUUUUAUUUUGAGUUUAAAAUUUAUUGGGGGAAGUUGGUCUUUGCAGUACACUAUUUUGAUUUUUUUGCCGUUGAAAAAUCUUCAGUGCCCUGCAGUUUGCUAUGCGAUGGGUUUAGUUAACCCAUUUCUUUUAUAGUUAGAAAAUAAAUUAAAGAAAUCAGCUCAUUUUCCUGAUGCAGGGUUACAUUGUAUCAUGCCCGGAGUCCUACAGGGUCCGACGGCGGUGCGAAGAGUGCAAUACUCUUCGGCUCCUAAUGCGGUUCAGUCGCAACGAUGCUGCAGUGUGGCCGCUCUCUCUGCUGCCAGAUCCAGGACCGUUGCUCGACGUGAGCACCUCGGGCGCAUCACGAGCCGUUCAUUUGGGCGCAACACUGCAGUCCGCAUGGGUCGUCGCUGUGGUGCGGCUGGGUGUGCAGUCCAUCGGUGAGGGUGCUUGCAGUGUCUUGAACAAAUUUGUUAGCAUAGAGACACAAAAAAUGUAGUCCAGUCCAUUUGUGUAGCAGCCCAUUACCACUCUGUAUGAAGUGCAAUUUGUUUCGUGUGUCUGAAAAUUCAGUCGACUACAUGAUCACUUGCAGUGUGUUUGGUCCUAGGAUGUGGUUUACUUUUAAAAGUGAUGUUGUUCACUUGCGCUCAACAUGAAAGUGCGUUUUUUUGUAAAACGAAACAACACGAUAGCAAUGAGGUUCACUUUGCCAUGUGUCGCGGUUCAUUUGCCCCCGUCUCUGCGGUCCACUCCCGUUCAUAAAAAAAAGUUGGAAAAAAAGACAACAAAAACUCGUCUGAGAAAAAUUUACGUCCGAUAAAAGAAAUCAUGAAGUUCACUUGACUGUAUGUUGCAGUGCGGUUUUCAGUUUGAAGCAGUGU
This 1281-nucleotide long non-coding RNA is filed under the name Triticum aestivum (bread wheat). RNAcentral describes it as "long non-coding RNA (TAES_LNC004127)". Lineage: Eukaryota; Viridiplantae; Streptophyta; Magnoliopsida; Poales; Poaceae. The record is from RNAcentral.